AUGCCUUAAACUUAUGAGUAAGGAAAUUAACGAUUCGGGGUUGUAGCUGGAGAGUUUUCUCUCUGGGUCCCGCCAAGCCCCAGCAAUCCAACAGUCCACUUAUUGUUUCCCUCUGCCUUCCUGUUCUCUCAAAUCUCCUGUUAGUCCCGCCUAUACUUCCUGCCUGGCUACUGGCCAAUCAGUGUUUUUAUUGACCAAUCAGAGCCAACACAUUUGACAUACAGACCAUCCCACAGCACAGGGUGAUGCCUGAGUCCCCAUUGCUGACGUGAGAAGAAUUUUUGAGUGGGUAAAGGUUGCUCCCUAAGGCGACCCACCUACCUUGCAGGAUGCCUGGGUGUGGUAGUCUGCCCG
Small nuclear RNA from Peromyscus maniculatus bairdii (prairie deer mouse), 354 nucleotides. RefSeq annotates it as U12 minor spliceosomal RNA. The record is from RefSeq and is a predicted model, not a curated record. NCBI's taxonomy places the organism in Eukaryota, Metazoa, Chordata, Mammalia, Rodentia, Cricetidae.